Molecule: long non-coding RNA, 597 nt
Organism: Mercenaria mercenaria
Lineage: Eukaryota; Metazoa; Mollusca; Bivalvia; Venerida; Veneridae
Exons: 4
Source: RefSeq, a predicted model, not a curated record
CAGAAACCAUGCCUUCGUGUCUGCUCAGGCUUUUGCAGAGACAUACAAUUCUGUCUUCCACAACGAGCAUCCUCACAUGAAACAGUUCAUUGCAUGGCAGUGUCAUAUGAGACUCACAAAUACAAAUGGUAGUCAAUGAAGUCAUCCUGUCUCAGAACAAGACCAGAUGGGGUGUCAUGAAGAACGGUGUUUUUGAGGAGAAAACCAACUUUGCGUUUCAACUGAAAUACAGUGUCACUAAGCCACCACAUUACCAUCUGGGCCAGGAUAUGUUGUAGACAUAGUCAGAUCUGCUGACAACAAGCAAGGGACUGCCUGGUUUUUAGGGUCUCAGCCACAAACAGAUGUAGCCCACUUUGUGAAGGGAUUGCAGUCCUCAUUCAGUGUAGAUGGUAUAAUGGAAGAUGGUGGUCUAUUUUCAACUUUCACUAAGAAGGAGCUUCUACACCUUAUGACAGCAGCAGACAGAACUCUGCGAGAACAAGAUGAUGCAUUGUUCAAGAAGACGCUUGUUCAGUACGUUGAAAGACAACGUAACAGUGACAUAACUCUGCUAAACCCUAAUCAAAUGUUCUCUGGGGCCGGUGUUGAGGUGAG